Gasterosteus aculeatus aculeatus (three-spined stickleback) is the source of this 1075-nucleotide long non-coding RNA. The record is from Ensembl. Lineage: Eukaryota; Metazoa; Chordata; Actinopteri; Perciformes; Gasterosteidae.
CAGUAUCCGGAACCAAGAGACGGUGACCUGGGCGAAACCCGAGGCCUGCCAGAGGAUCACUCUGCUUGUCUGUGUGCCAAUGUCUGGGCACUGCUUCCCAGCCUGGCUUUGGCUCUGGUCCUGGCCCAGCAUGCCUUAUAGAAGUGCCAGGAGAAGAAAAAGAGGUCAUCCACCCACAAGCUGAUCCCAAAAGCAGAAGGUGUUAUUUCUGAGACUGAUAUUAAGAAGGCUGAAUCUCUGGGCAGUUGACAAAAAUGAGCGGACCACAACUGUGAUAAAGCACAGAGGCUUGAAAAAGGACCUUUAGUAGGAGAGGCCAUGAAGUCCAUUCUUCGGGAGCAACUCUCCCUCAGCCUGAGACACGAAAUCCUAGAGGACUGAAGCUGAUCAUUUUCAACGCUUGCGCUUUUCACACCAGAGGAGGUAGAGCGGGAAUGAACGAGAUAAUUAAAAGAAGACAGAUUGACAGAAAAUAAAUUGUUGCAGAGAGAAAAGGAAUGAGCAGGAGGUAAAUGGGCUAGAGUUAAAGCAAAAGGACAAAGAGAGACAUAUUUCUGCUAUCAGUCACACUUUUUUGAAUUGGUUCUCAACUUAAUCUUUUCUUGGAUUAACAGACCACAAAUUUAGGGGCGGGGAUGGGGGAUGAUUACAUUGUGUGUCUUCAACACUAGUCUAAACUCUAAACUGUAAAGCCUACUCAGUGUUCUAAGUGUUGGUAUAGUAUCCGUGACCAUAAGCAAGCUACCGUGAAGCUCUCUCAUUUGGAUGCUACAGUCUACUUUUUCAGCAGGCGGCCAAAAGAACAAAAGAUAGCAGCAUAACCAGUUAACGGUCCUUUGGUCAUUUGAAAAUGUUAAUAACUGUGGGUGAGAUCCAUACGUCCACCUGCACAUGUUGUAUAUUUCUGUCUCUAUGUAUAAUAAACACCUUUCUUUCUUUCAACCAAAAGAUAUCUACGGUACCUUGAAUAGAAAUGACUGUAUGCUAAGAUGACUCUGUAUUGGUACUAAUUGAAGGUCUUCAUCAUCUGCGUUUAUAUUUGUCUAUAAAGGUUUAAUCACAAAGAAUGUAUACA